GGGGAUUGUUAUGGCUUACGGUUGCUUGCUUGGUGUUUGUGCUAGGCGGGUGGUUGGUAGUUGUAUGUUCUUCGGGAAUGUUGAUCGUAAAGGUGCAUGAGUGGUGUUUGGUUUGUUACAGGUGGUUGGAUGUCUGUUAGUGCAGCAACUUCUACGUGUCCAUACCUCUUCAGUUGUGCUACAAGGUUUUAUUGGUCUUGUGCAUCCCUGGGUCUCUGUGCUGCAUACCUAAUCAAGGGCAUCGUGUGGCUAUAUUAAAGUUCAUUUCGUUAGGCGUUGCUUGCGGCGUUGAACGAACUUCGAAGCGGUCUCUAGGAUCCAUUCUGUAUUUGCACUUGCAAAGAUGGAAUGGCCCUUGGAAUGUCGUUGGGUCUCUUGGAUAUGGAACCUGAUUGGGCUUGUUGGGUCUUUACUGAUCUAAUUUUCGCCCUCGUUUAGUGUUCUCGCUUCUCUAAACGACCGUCUGUCAUGCGUCGGCAUGUCCGUGCGUGGUGGGCUGUGUCAAAGAGGAAUGU
Molecule: unclassified non-coding RNA, 515 nt
Filed under: Nothocalais cuspidata
Lineage: Eukaryota; Viridiplantae; Streptophyta; Magnoliopsida; Asterales; Asteraceae
Description: partial external transcribed spacer
Source: RNAcentral